Molecule: transfer RNA, 65 nt
Filed under: Coccinellidae sp. 1 EF-2015
Lineage: Eukaryota; Metazoa; Arthropoda; Insecta; Coleoptera; Coccinellidae
Description: tRNA-Ile
Source: RNAcentral
GAUAGAGUGCCUGAUUAAAGGACCAUUUUGAUAGAAUGGAUCACGUGUGCCCCCCACCUCUAUCU